UUGUAGUCUGCAACUCGACUACAUGAAGCUGGAAUCGCUAGUAAUCGCAGANCAGAAUGCUGCGGUGAAUACGUUCCCGGGUCUUGUACACACCGCCCGUCACACCAUGGGAGUCGGAAAUGCCCGAAGCCGGUGACCCAACCAAAAGGAGGGAGCCGUCGAAGGCAGGUCUGAUAACUGGGGUGAAGUCGUAACAAGGUAUC
Molecule: ribosomal RNA, 203 nt
Filed under: uncultured bacterium
Lineage: Bacteria
Description: partial 16S ribosomal RNA
Rfam family: Bacterial small subunit ribosomal RNA
Source: RNAcentral